AAUUAUUUUGAUUACGUUAUCUUAGAAUUAUUUGUUUUGUAUUGAAAAAAUAAUUUUUUAUUUCCAUAUCAUUAGGGCGUUUCAAAAGGAUUCCACGGAGGAGAAAUGAAGAAUCUAUUGUCGGGCACGUAAUAAGGCUAAAUCCGUUAUUCGAAAAGAGAAAAGACAUGCUCAUUCAUCUUAUUUUGAUAACGAAAGUGAUGCGAGGACCAUGUGGAGUAAGAUCAGGAAUAGUCGCCUAUUGAAUGGUUCUCAGGACGGUUGCCACGAAAUGGAUGUUAAUGUUGAAGAGUUGAAUGCAAGAUUUAUUAAUUACCAACUUCAGGACCCUGGCGAACUGUUGCAUUUUCUUUUAUUAAAUCCAAAGCCGCUGGAGAUGAUGGAUGUCUAAAAUUUCUUAAACUAGAUUUCCCGCAUAUCGCUACUUAUUUCUUGGGUUUGGUUAACUCAAUUAUAAUAAUGUCAACUUUUCCUUCCGAAUUGCGAAGAUUGCGAAAAUCAUUCCCCUACGGAAGAAGCCAACUGUUAUAUCUUGGUAUAACUUAAGACCAAUAUCGAUUUUGACGAUUCUAUCGAAAACUGUUGAGCAUGUCCUUAAACGUCCAUCAUUAAACCAUCUUGAAUCCUCCCUUUCCCUAAGCGAUUAGCAAUGUGGGUUUCGUUGCAAUAGAAAUACAACGGGUUUACUACUUGGAUUGACUGAUUUAAGUGGGGGCGAUUUUUAUGACAAAAAACUCUCUAUUCUACUGUCCAUGGAUUUAGAGAAAGCGUUCGACAGGGUGCAUUAUUCCAUUCUCCUUUAAAAGUAUCAGUGCGUUUGUGUGCAUGGCGAAACAUCUGGAAUCCUUCCAGUUAGAAGUGGAGAUCCCCAUGAUUCCGUAUUAGGGCCAAUGUUGUUCAUCUGUAUUCAUGAGAGCAUAGAUCCAUGGAAGUCACUCAACAUAAGAUACAUGACGCUAUGCACAUGAAUGGCACGGAAUAAGUUAAUUGUUAAUCCUCAGAAGACGAAGUCCAUGAUAUUUUCUUCUAAACCAACAUCUUUUGAUAUUUCCUAUAAUGGCAUCCAUAUACAAUUGGUAGAUCAACUGGAAUGCUCAGGUGUCAUAUUAGUUGACAAGUUGGAUUUUGGUCCUCAUAUAGAGCGGGUUGCAUCACGUACAUAUGGCCCUUUGCGCCGCCUACAUAAUUGCGAUAUAUUGCUACCAAGGUCUAUGAGGACUAAACUGGUUCAUGCUCUUAUAAUGCCCAAUAUUCUCUACUGUUUAGAGGUUUAUUGUGGUACAUCGGCCCAGAGUAUGGACAGGGUGCGCAAAGCCUUUAAUAGUGCUAUGCGUUAUCUAUAUUCCGUUAAUAGUUUAGUUUAGGCUGCUCCUUUGUGGAUUAUGUGAACUUAAGGUGCCUUCUAUUUUUUUUUAUAAAUUUUUUAAAUUUCAAAGUCCACAGUUUCUUCUUUGGUUGUUUCAUUUCUCACGCUCUUCCCGCUCAAUACAUUUAAAUAUUCCCCGAUUCUCACAACACAUGGAUAAAUCAUUUCAGGUGAAAGUGGAGCGCCUUUUUAAUAUUCUGCCCGGAUGCACGGAAGUCUUUUAAUAUGUCUUUGCCUACCGGAAAAAGCUUCUUGAAUAUUUUGUUAUCAA
Molecule: long non-coding RNA, 1637 nt
Organism: Stomoxys calcitrans (stable fly)
Lineage: Eukaryota; Metazoa; Arthropoda; Insecta; Diptera; Muscidae
Exons: 4
Source: RefSeq, a predicted model, not a curated record